This 497-nucleotide ribosomal RNA is filed under the name uncultured bacterium. Its description in RNAcentral is "partial 16S ribosomal RNA". It matches the Rfam family "Bacterial small subunit ribosomal RNA", at positions 28 to 507 of the family's 1533-position model. The record is from RNAcentral.
GAUGAACGCUGGCGGCGUGCCUAAUACAUGCAAGUCGAACGAACAGAUCAGGAGCUUGCGCCUCUGUCGUUAGCCGCACACGGGAGAGUAACACGUGGAUAACCUACCUAUCAGACUGGUAAAACUUCGGGAAACCGGCGCUAAUACCGUAUAAUAUAUUGAACCGCAGUGUGGAAUAGUGAAAUACGGUGUUGCUGGCACGUAUAGAUGGAUCCGCGCCGCAUUAGCUAGUUGGUAAGGUAACGGGUUACCAAGGCGACGAUGCGUAGCCGACGUGAGAGGGGGGUCGGCCACACUGGAGCUGAGCCGCGGUCCAGGGUCCUAAGGGAGGGAGCAGUAGGGAAUGUGAGGCAGUGGGCGGGAGCAUGACAGAGCAGCGCCGAGUGAGUGGUGGAGGUGUUCGGAUCGUGAAACCGUGUUAUGGGGGGAGAACAAAUGUGUAAGUAGCUAUGCACGUCGUGACGGUACCUGAUCAGAAAGCCACGGCUAACUACGUG